RNAcentral lists this ribosomal RNA (460 nucleotides) under uncultured bacterium. RNAcentral's name for it is "partial 16S ribosomal RNA". It matches the Rfam family "Bacterial small subunit ribosomal RNA", at positions 338 to 795 of the family's 1533-position model. The record is from RNAcentral.
CCUACGGGAGGCAGCAGUGAGGAAUAUUGGUCAAUGGACGAGAGUCUGAACCAGCCAAGUAGCGUGAAGGAUGACUGCCCUAUGGGUUGUAAACUUCUUUUAUAUGGGAAUAAAAUGUUCCACGUGUGGGAUUUUGUAUGUACCAUAUGAAUAAGGAUCGGCUAACUCCGUGCCAGCAGCCGCGGUAAUACGGAGGAUGCGAGCGUUAUCCGGAUUUAUUGGGUUUAAAGGGAGCGUAGGUGGAUUGUUAAGUCAGUUGUGAAAGUUUGCGGCUCAACCCUAAAAUUGCAGUUGAAACUGGCAGUCUUGAGUACAGUAGAGGUGUGCGGAAUGCGUGGUGUAGCGGUGAAAUGCUGAGAUAUCACGAAGAACUCCGAUUGCGAAGGCAGUUCACUGGACUGCAACUGACACUGAGGCUCGAAAGUGUGGGUAUCAAACAGGAUUAGAUACCCGUGUAGUC